RNAcentral lists this ribosomal RNA (468 nucleotides) under uncultured bacterium. Its description in RNAcentral is "partial 16S ribosomal RNA". It matches the Rfam family "Bacterial small subunit ribosomal RNA", at positions 28 to 507 of the family's 1533-position model. The record is from RNAcentral.
GACGAACGCUGGCGGCGUGCUUAACACAUGCAAGUCGAACGGAAAGGCCCUGCUUUUGUGGGGUGCUCGAGUGGCGAACGGGUGAGUAACACGUGAGUAACCUGCCCUUGACUUUGGGAUAACUUCAGGAAACUGGGGCUAAUACCGGAUAGGAGCUCCUGCUGCAUGGUGGGGGUUGGAAAGUUUCGGCGGUUGGGGAUGGACUCGCGGCUUAUCAGCUUGUUGGUGGGGUAGUGGCUUACCAAGGCUUUGACGGGUAGCCGGCCUGAGAGGGUGACCGGCCACAAUGGGACUGAGGUACGGCCCAGUCGGCUACGGGAGGCAGCAGUGGGGAAUAUUGCACAAUGGGCCGAAGCCUGAUACGGCAGCGCCGCGUGCGGGAUGACGGCCUUCGGGUUGUAAACCGCUUUCGCCUGUGACGAAGCGUGAGUGACGGUAAUGGGUAAAGAAGCACCGGCUAACUACGUG